Molecule: long non-coding RNA, 269 nt
Filed under: Ananas comosus (pineapple)
Lineage: Eukaryota; Viridiplantae; Streptophyta; Magnoliopsida; Poales; Bromeliaceae
Description: long non-coding RNA (ACOM_LNC028629)
Source: RNAcentral
AGAGAAAAAGAGAAAGAGAGAGAAUAGCCAAGAGUUGAGUGCACGUCAGGUGUAAUCUUCUCUUAAUUAAUAAAUUUUAUUUUACUCGCAUAUUUUUUUCUUUUGUGAUUAUAUUAGUUUUUGCUGAGGAAACAGGUUUAUGGUAAAAAUCUAAUUUGACACUUUCGUUACGGAAUCCCAACAAUCAGUACCGGAUCCACAGCAGUCGGUAUCAAAGCGGGUUGCGGAUUCAUAAGAUCCGAUACCGGAGCGAGUACCGAGGCAGGGUU